AGUGAACGCUGGCGGUAGGCCUAACACAUGCAAGUCGAACGGCAGCACAGUAAGAGCUUGCUCUUACGGGUGGCGAGUGGCGGACGGGUGAGGAAUACAUCGGAAUCUACUUUUUCGGGGGGGAUAACGUAGGGAAACUUACGCUAAUACCGCAUACGACCUACGGGUGAAAGCAGGGGAUCUUCGGACCUUGCGCGAUUGAAUGAGCCGAUGUCGGAUUAGCUAGUUGGCGGGGUAAAGGCCCACCAAGUCGACGAUCCGUAGCUGGUCUGAGAGGAUGAUCAGCCACACUGGAACUGAGACACGGUCCAGACUCCUACGGGAGGCAGCAGUGGGGAAUAUUGGACAAUGGGCGCAAGCCUGAUCCAGCCAUAGCGCGUGGGUGAAGAAGGCCUUCGGGUUGUAAAGCCCUUUUGUUGGGAAAGAAAAGCAGCAGGUUAAUACCCCGCUGUUCUGACGGUACCCAAAGAAUAAGCACCGGCUAACUUCGUG
RNAcentral lists this ribosomal RNA (492 nucleotides) under uncultured bacterium. Its description in RNAcentral is "partial 16S ribosomal RNA". It matches the Rfam family "Bacterial small subunit ribosomal RNA", at positions 29 to 507 of the family's 1533-position model. The record is from RNAcentral.